Molecule: transfer RNA, 73 nt
Filed under: Paludisphaera borealis
Lineage: Bacteria; Pseudomonadati; Planctomycetota; Planctomycetia; Isosphaerales; Isosphaeraceae
Description: tRNA-Phe
Rfam family: tRNA
About the family: Transfer RNA (tRNA) molecules are approximately 80 nucleotides in length. Their secondary structure includes four short double-helical elements and three loops (D, anti-codon, and T loops).
Source: RNAcentral
GGGCCGGUAGCUGAGACGGUCUAGCGCCACUCUGAAAAGGUGGAGAGGUGGAUUCGAGCGCCACCCGGCCCAC